This 220-nucleotide long non-coding RNA is filed under the name Vitis vinifera (wine grape). RNAcentral's name for it is "long non-coding RNA (VVIN_LNC003803)". The record is from RNAcentral. Lineage: Eukaryota; Viridiplantae; Streptophyta; Magnoliopsida; Vitales; Vitaceae.
AUAAACCCACUUCUCUCACCACCCUGUUAUCCAUGUCUUAGCUGUUUCCUUGUCAUUUUACCCACCCACGUGCAUGCUCCGGAAAUCUGGUCCUUGCACCCGAGACACCCAAUUCAUUCCCUCUGAGAUCAUUUCUCUUUUCGGACGAAUUUGGAUCAUCAGGAAUGCGCCAUAGCGACCAUGAGAAACCUGAUUUUUCAGUGAUUAUUUGAGUUUUGGG